Diceros bicornis minor is the source of this 1206-nucleotide long non-coding RNA. RefSeq lists it as uncharacterized. NCBI's taxonomy places the organism in Eukaryota, Metazoa, Chordata, Mammalia, Perissodactyla, Rhinocerotidae. The transcript has 3 exons. The record is from RefSeq and is a predicted model, not a curated record.
CUCGGCAGCCAUGUUAGGAGUGUUGGGACGAUUGCGCGGAGCCGGGCUGUGGCUUUAGGGAGCGCGGGAGCCGAGUGGUGGUGCAGUGGGGACGGUUUCGGACCCUCGUUGGUUUUUCUUAUAGGAAUGAUUUGCAAAAGGGUCCAAAGAAAUCAAUGUUGGAAGGUAGCCAAGCUGGAAAGGGACGGUCUGUUGGCCCCGCAGUUAAGAAGACAAGGAGAGGCCUAAAAGAGCAACGCACCGGUUUAAAACGACGUCUUUAUACCUGCCAGAGAAAACAGGGAGAUGUUGAAAGGGGAUGUUGAUGAUGGGCCUGUUGACGGCUGGCCAUCGGUUCCGAAGUAACACGGGUUCUUGGAUAAACCUAGAGUAGUCUGUCUACACUAUGGAAAGAUGGGAAAUUUCUUUACCUCCUGAGGGUGUCUGAAGGGUUAAAAAUGCUGAUAUUGUGCUGUUUUUCUCCCUCCCUUUUGCACAUUAUUCUGAAAACAAAAUUGCUUUGGAUCAGUAAGGGUGUGCACUUCACCUGUUAGGAGUUAAUAAAAUUAUAGCUGAUAAAUGGAUUCUCCUAUCAAAGAAAGGCUAAAGAGAGUGAUUACAAAUGACAAAAACAUGGUAGAAGCAGUCUCAGAUAUAUGCCGAUAACUGCUAAACCAGUUUUAUCAAGAAUGAUCUUAUAUGUCAUGUUUUAGGGAACAAGUCAUUUACAAGAUAAAUGGCUUUGUUUCGUUUUUAAACAUAGGUAAUAUGUAUUGGUUUCAUUUAUCCGGGAAUACAACAAUGGGGAGGGCUCAUGCAAAUAUUUCUGUUGUUUAGAAAUACCUUCUUUGUGAGUAUUGGUGGUAAGUAUAGGAGAAGGAACAAAAUGUUUACUAUUUUCUUUCUGACCUUCAAUAUAAUUAUAGAACUGUUUUAAGCUUAAUAGAAAUAAAAUAGACUGGCCAGGUUUACAUUUAGGCCUGGUUUCAGACUCUUAAAUUAUUUUUAGGGGUUGGUGAUUCAGAGAUGUUCUUGUGUCUUAUACAAACUUAUAGUGAAUAUUGUUCAUUUUGUAAGAUAUUUCUUUAUAUAAGCACUAACCUCCUCAGUUUGAGUUAGUAUGGAAGACAGAUUUGUGGGAGGUAAAAAACCAGCGGAUUUCUCAAAUCUUGUAUGUGAGAAAUGAGACCUGUGUAAUGUAGUGAUUGCUAUAAUUUAUCAUGUGUC